AAAGGAAACCGUGGUGAACAUUCUGCUAUUUUAAUGGAGACAGCAUUCCAGAGCCACUCAUUGCCUUCUCAAAUCUAGGACAGCUUGAGGGAUGUGGAUCUGGAAUUCUUGGAGACAUUGCUCAGGGGAAUUGGCAGUUAUGGAGUAGUGACGCAUUAUAGGCGUCUGUAAUACUUUACAGCAUGCCACUGAAAAGGGAAAAGCAGCUGACGUCAUGAAACACAGAUUCUCCCCCUAACUCUGCCAAGCUUCUGUAUGUAGCAUACACACAAAAAAUGGCUGCUGUUCUCCAAACUCUUCUGCUAUUUCAUUCUAAAAAUAGCUCCUGUGCAAUCAAUCCCAAUUGUUGAGCGGCUGGAGGAGCUGCGAGACAAGGACCUAAAGAGCUGCAAUUAGCAUGGUAACUAUAGCAUAGAGUGCUUAUCAAUUAAUGGCACCACACUACUGUUUCAUAAUACAAAUAACUCAGGAAAUGUAGAAAGACAGGAAUUACUUCAGGAAAUGUAGUUUAUAUGGUCAUUAUAUAAUUAUUUAUAUUUUUAUUAGAUGUGGUUUCAGAGGCAAAUGAUUUAUUUAUUUAAAAUAUUACUUAAAUAUGAUCUUCAUUACAGCUUUUUUCUACCUCAGGCCCCUGAUUCAUUUCCAUCUGUUUUCAAUAUACUCAGAACUGUUUCAGAUUUAAAAGGAUCUGGCCUUUUGAAAUAUAAUGAGAUAUGAAACCACUCAUACGGGGGAAAGAAAGUAGGAACUAUUUUUGGGGGGGGGUUGGGAGGGCAGUGUGUGUAUGUUUAUUUUCUUGUUAAUUACCCAGUUUUCUGAACUCAACCCUUGAACCUCCGCAUGCAGAACACUGUAUUUUCUUAUUAUUUCUUAUUGCUCUUCAAAAACAAUAACAGAUCUUCCCAGUUCUACUUAUCUUAGAAACCUUUCCUUUAGUGGUAAUUUUAUUGUAAUGGUUGUUCCAAUGGGACUGCCUGCAUGAAUAAGGAGGAAACUGACUGAAGACUUGUGAAGCAGUUACAAAGUUUUUAAAAUGAACCCGCUUAUUUUAGGAUAGUUUAGAGGGCAAGGCUUUUCUUCAGUAUACCACAUUUACUUGCAAGGCUUUACUACAUGUGAUAAACUUUA
Long non-coding RNA from Pezoporus occidentalis (night parrot), 1128 nucleotides. RefSeq lists it as uncharacterized. The record is from RefSeq and is a predicted model, not a curated record. Lineage: Eukaryota; Metazoa; Chordata; Aves; Psittaciformes; Psittacidae. The transcript is spliced from 3 exons.